UACGUCAAUAUUUAGCUACAAUGGGAGUCUGCGUUUUAAGAACCAUCAAGAACAUAAGAUUUCUCAUAACGCCACUUCAUCAUCAUUUCGCUAUUGUUAUUUAUAAUUGGGGGGGGUGGAUUCAACUUGAAAAACAUUUUUACCCUUAAAUGCGUUAUAAAAAAAAUACAAAACCACUUUAUUGAAAUUAAUGUGCUGGUAUAAUUAAGGUGCUUUUUAAAGGUAUCAGAAAGUGAAAACAUGGCGCCAGAUAACGAGUAGGAGUUCCAGCCCACAAGCUGGAAUGUGGAUGAUCACCCCGGGUCCCCACGUGCUGAAGGCUACCGGUGGUUGGUGGUGGUGGUGGUGGUCCCGUUGCUCUCUCUCCCAUCUUGUGUGUCCUUUGGGGAAGGGGGAGGGGAGAAGGGUGAAAGAAUUACUUCCAGGGCACAUCAACUCGUUUCCUCAUCACCCUAACUGCCUCUCCGGCACCACUUCCCAGCCCCUCCACAGGCUGCCAACGGUCCCACCGCCGAGCCCGCAGGGUGAACGUGUUUGUGCACAGCGCCGGACUUCUUCUGUUAGGAUCCUAUAAAGCAAACAGAAACUGGACAAGAAUAGAUGAUAGAGAAACAGAAGGUCUGAAGAUGGAUGAGCCCUGUAGACCAUGCAGGAAAAGCCCUCACAUGCACAGCAGCAGCCACCACUCCCCUGCAUGUUUCUGGCUACCACACACCUAAUCAGUCCUGAUUAGAUGCACUGUGAGGGACGAGGAAGCCAGAAGUUUCCUUUGAGAAGUUCUGAUGACAGGACAGAAGAAAGCAAUGGGCUCCCUUAAAUAAAGCCUUCAUCAGGCUCUGGGAAGAAACAUGUGGCUCUGUUUAUGGCAGGGUAUACCAGUGUUCUGUUCUCCAACUGAUCUUGCAGUGUCAUCUUGAUUUACCUCCUUCCUUUAGCACGCUUUACUUCACAGCUAUUACUUUAACACCGUCAGCUUCAUAUAGACGCACGCUCAAGCUCCUCUCUUGAAGAGUCGAAAAAGGAAAUGAAACUGAUAAAACCUUGGAUAGUGAGGAAGAGCUGCACAAAAACUAAAAUGCAAAAAAAGUUAGGUGAACAUUUUUAUGUUUGUUUGAUUGUUGUGAUCCUGUCACCUCAAGGAAGUCUCACGCUCUCUCUCCCUGUCUCACCAACUUUUUGUCUUUUUCUCAAACUCCGGCAGUGAGUUGUG
Long non-coding RNA from Astatotilapia calliptera (eastern happy), 1210 nucleotides. The record is from Ensembl. Lineage: Eukaryota; Metazoa; Chordata; Actinopteri; Cichliformes; Cichlidae.